Molecule: transfer RNA, 70 nt
Filed under: Staphylinidae sp. BMNH 1274674
Lineage: Eukaryota; Metazoa; Arthropoda; Insecta; Coleoptera; Staphylinidae
Description: tRNA-Trp
Source: RNAcentral
AAGGAUUUAAGUUAAAUUAAACUGAAAGCCUUCAAAGCUUCCAAUAAAGAUCAAAACUCUUUAAGCCUUA